CUCAGAAGGUGGAGCCGACCCACAGAUAAAGGUUCAAGAAAAACCAGGAAGAGGGAGAGAGAGUGCUGGAAGGAUCUAUGAACAAUAGAGAAAGAGACAAUAGAGAUUGGCUGGAUUUACUGUGUAUGAGCUGGAUUGUUUUGGACUUACCUGUUGGCGUUUGGACCUGGACCUGCCGAGAACCCGAUUUGAGUACCGAACCCUGCUAUCCUUGACCUCGCCUAUGGCCUGGGUGGACCAGGACGGAGAAACAAACACACAGAGAUAAGGAGGCGGUUGCCUUGUGGGAUCAGACGCCGUCAAAUCACAGAUCAGGAAGAGGCUGUCGAGCAGGAAGAGGAAGACCGGGCAGGGAGUGUGUGUGUGUGUCAUGUUGACAGAAUGGGCCAGAACAGGAGCACCUGUAACAGGAGCACCUGUAACUUGGCAGCCGUGGAGGAGAGGUUUAAAAGAGGAUGGUCUGGAUGUGCCUGUCCUGGUUCUGCCAGCCUAACAGUGACGAACAGCUACAUUAAUCAACCCUGUCCAGCAGACAAGGGAUGAACGUGGUACCUUCAGGCGUUUGCAAAUUGCUCCCAAGGAUGAACCAGACUUUUGGAGGUCUACAAUUUUUUUUCUGAGGUGUUGGCUGAUUUCUUUUGAUUUUCUCAUGAUGUAGAGCAAAGAGUCACUUAGUUUGAAGAUUGGAUGUAUUUCAAGGUUUCAGGUACACCUCCAAUUGACUCAAAUGAUGGCUUUAGAAUCUUCUGAUAGGCUAAUUGACAUGACCUAAUUUUCUGGAAUUUUCCAAGCUGUUUAAAGGCACAGUCAACUUCGUGUAUGUGAAACAGUGAAUUAUAAGUGAAAUAAUGUGUCUGUAAACAAAUGUUGGAAAAAUGACUUGUGUCAUGCACAAAGUAGAUGUCCUAACCGACUUGCCAAAACUAUAGUUUGUGAACAAGAAAUUUGUGGAGUGGUUGAAAAACGAGUUUGUAGGUGAUCAAAUACUUAUUUUCCACCAUAAUUUGCAAAUAAAUUCAUUAAAA
Long non-coding RNA from Oncorhynchus tshawytscha (Chinook salmon), 1025 nucleotides. The record is from Ensembl. NCBI's taxonomy places the organism in Eukaryota, Metazoa, Chordata, Actinopteri, Salmoniformes, Salmonidae.